Molecule: transfer RNA, 77 nt
Filed under: Marinobacter sp.
Lineage: Bacteria; Pseudomonadati; Pseudomonadota; Gammaproteobacteria; Pseudomonadales; Marinobacteraceae
Also listed under: 17 other names
Description: tRNA-Met
Rfam family: tRNA
About the family: Transfer RNA (tRNA) molecules are approximately 80 nucleotides in length. Their secondary structure includes four short double-helical elements and three loops (D, anti-codon, and T loops). Further hydrogen bonds mediate the characteristic L-shaped molecular structure. tRNAs have two regions of fundamental functional importance: the anti-codon, which is responsible for specific mRNA codon recognition, and the 3' end, to which the tRNAs corresponding amino acid is attached (by aminoacyl-tRNA synthetases). tRNAs cope with the degeneracy of the genetic code in two manners: having more than one tRNA (with a specific anti-codon) for a particular amino acid; and 'wobble' base-pairing, i.e. permitting non-standard base-pairing at the 3rd anti-codon position.
Source: RNAcentral
GGCUACGUAGCUCAGCUGGUUAGAGCACAGCACUCAUAAUGCUGGGGUCGGUGGUUCAAGUCCACCCGUAGCCACCA